Molecule: small RNA, 125 nt
Filed under: Marmota monax (woodchuck)
Lineage: Eukaryota; Metazoa; Chordata; Mammalia; Rodentia; Sciuridae
Source: RNAcentral
GCCGGGUGCGGUGGCCCACGCCUGUCAUCCCAGCAGCUCGGGAGGCUGAGGCAGGAGGACGGUGAGUUCAAAGCCAGCCUCAGCAAAAGUGAGGUGCUAAGCAACUCAGUGAGACCCUGUCUCUA